AAAAAGAGACGCUGUUAAACGCCUGUUUUCAAAGAUAUUUGUUACAACGUCCUUUUUUUACAAUUGUGGAAAAUUGGAAGCAUCCUCCACGUUCAAGGAGAAGAAUGACUAAUUACAGAGUUGCACUGAAACUCAGAAGACGAAGCCAUCCACUGGGUCUUGAAACCAGGAGGAGGAGCUAUGUGUCGAUCAGCAAGUGGAGAAAACAAGAAAUGAUGCCCUGUUUUUCUUCCCACACUCCUCCCUCCCUCCCUCCCUCCCCUUCCUUCCUUCCUUUUUCCUCUUUUCCUCUUUCCUUCCUUUAUUUCUUCCUUUCUCCUCACAUUCAAUAAAUACUUACUCACUGCUUCCA
This is a long non-coding RNA of Lagenorhynchus albirostris (white-beaked dolphin), 352 nucleotides long. RefSeq lists it as uncharacterized. NCBI's taxonomy places the organism in Eukaryota, Metazoa, Chordata, Mammalia, Artiodactyla, Delphinidae. The transcript is spliced from 2 exons. The record is from RefSeq and is a predicted model, not a curated record.